This 119-nucleotide ribosomal RNA is filed under the name Pteropus alecto (black flying fox). The record is from RNAcentral. Lineage: Eukaryota; Metazoa; Chordata; Mammalia; Chiroptera; Pteropodidae.
GGCUACAGCCAUACUACCCUGAACGUGCCCAAUCUCGUCUGAUCUCGGAAGCUAAGCAGGUUUGGGCCUGGUUAGUACUUGGAUGGGAGACUACCUAGGAAGACCAGGUGCUGUAGGUG